Molecule: ribosomal RNA, 671 nt
Filed under: Mogibacterium timidum
Lineage: Bacteria; Bacillati; Bacillota; Clostridia; Peptostreptococcales; Anaerovoracaceae
Description: bacterial SSU rRNA
Rfam family: Bacterial small subunit ribosomal RNA
Source: RNAcentral
AAUGGGCGAAAGCCUGAUGCAGCAACGCCGCGUGGAAGGAUGAAGGCCUUCGGGUGUGUAAACUUCUGUUCUAAGGGAAGAAAGAAAUGACGGUACCUUAGGAGCAAGCCCCGGCUAACUACGUGCCAGCAGCCCGCGGUAAUACGUAGGGGGCAAGCGUUAUCCGGAAUUAUUGGGCGUAAAGAGUGCGUAGGUGGUCACCUAAGCGCAAGGUUUAAAUUAGAGGCUCAACCUUUACAUGCCUUGCGAACUGGGCUACUUGAGUGCAGGAGGGGAAAGCGGAAUUCCUAGUGUAGCGGUGAAAUGCGUAGAUAUUAGGAGGAACACCGGCGGCGAAGGCGGCUUUCUGGACUGUAACUGACACUGAGGCACGAAAGCGUGGGUAGCAAACAGGAUUAGAUACCCUGGUAGUCCACGCCGUAAACGAUGAGCACUAGGUGUUGGGUCCGUUAGGACUCAGUGCCGCAGUUAACGCAAUAAGUGCUCCGCCUGGGGAGUACGCUCGCAAGAGUAAAACUCAAAGGAAUUGACGGGGACCCGCACAAGCAGCGGAGCAUGUGGUUUAAUUCGAAGCAACGCGAAGAACCUACCAGGGCUGACAUCCUGCUGACAGAACCUUAAUCGGUUUUUCUCGGACAGCAAGACAGGUGUGCAUGGUGUCGUAGCUCUGU